This 323-nucleotide ribosomal RNA is filed under the name uncultured Pseudomonadota bacterium. RNAcentral's name for it is "bacterial SSU rRNA". It matches the Rfam family "Bacterial small subunit ribosomal RNA", at positions 30 to 351 of the family's 1533-position model. Lineage: Bacteria; Pseudomonadati; Pseudomonadota. The record is from RNAcentral.
AUUGAACGCUGGCGGAAUGCUUUACACAUGCAAGUCGAGCGGCAGCGCGGGGGCAACUCUGGCGGCGAGCGGCGAACGGGUGAGUAACACAUCGGAACGCGUCCUGUAAUGGGGGAUAACCUAUCGAAAGGUAGGCUAAUACCGCAUACGUCCUGAGGGAGAAAGCGGGGGACCUGAAAGGGCCUCGCGUUAUAGGAGUGGCCGAUGUCGGAUUAGCUAGUUGGUGGGGUAAAGGCCUACCAAGGCGACGAUCCGUAGCUGGUCUGAGAGGAUGAUCAGCCACACUGGGACUGAGACACGGCCCAGACACCUACGGGUGGCUG